CGCACGGCGCACGGGUGCGUAACACGUGGGUAACCUGCCCUUCGGUGGGGAAUAACUCCGCGAAAGCGGAGCUAACACCGCAUUACAUUCCGGGAACUUCGGAUUCCGGACUCAAAACCGCAAGGUGCCGAAGGAGGGGCCCGCGCCCGAUUAGCUAGUUGGCGAGGUAAUGGCUCACCAAGGCUAUGAUCGGUAGCCGGUCUGAGAGGAUGGCCGGCCACACUGGAACUGAGACACGGUCCAGACUCCUACGGGAGGCAGCAGUGGGGAAUCUUGCGCAAUGGGCGAAAGCCUGACGCAGCGACGCCGCGUGGGGGAUGAAGCUUCUCGGAGUGUAAACCCCUUUCGACCCGGACGAAUGCCCCGCAAGGGGAGUGUCGGUACGGGUAUAAGAAGCCCCGGCUAACUACGUGCCAGCAGCCGCGGUAAGACGUAGGGGGCCAGCGUUGCUCGGAAUUACUGGGCGUAAAGGGUCUGUAGGCGGUGCGGCAAGUCGGGAGUGAAAUCUCUGGGCUUAACUCAGGGGCUGCUUCCGAAACUGCCGUGCUCGAGUGUGGGAGAGGCGAGUGGAAUUGCAGGUGUAGCGGUGAAAUGCGUAGAUAUCUGCAGGAACACCCGUGGCGAAGGCGGCUCGCUGGACCACAACUGACGCUGAGAGGCGAAAGCUAGGGGAGCAAACAGGAUUAGAUACCCUGGUAGUCCUAGCCCUAAACCAUCAGGACUUGGCGUGACCCGCGUACGUGGGUCGUGCCGAAGCUAACGCGAUAAGUCCUGCGCCUGGGGAGUACGGUCGCAAGACUGAAAC
Molecule: ribosomal RNA, 805 nt
Filed under: uncultured Acidobacteriota bacterium
Lineage: Bacteria; Pseudomonadati; Acidobacteriota
Description: bacterial SSU rRNA
Rfam family: Bacterial small subunit ribosomal RNA
Source: RNAcentral